GUGAUUUUACGCCAUAGAAGAAGUUUUAGUUUACUCCUUUCUGUACCACGAAUUUUUCCAGAAAUAAUGUUUCCAACUUAUUUGAUAGACAAAAUAAUCCAAAAAUUAUAAAAUAAUAAUUGCCGUCCGAUUGUGACAAUUGAAAUAUUGGAAUUAAUUGCUAUCAGCAUAGAUUGAUCCACGACAUUCUAAAAUUGUGGUAAAGCAAUUUGAAAUUCAAACUUGAAUCAAGAUUGAGUUAAACGAUUUAACUUCAAACGCUCAUACCAAUUACAACAUCGUGCUUCGACGUAAUCGUGCCAUUAAUAAUUACAGAAAUCGAAUGAUACAAAGAUGCGCAAAGAUCAAAGGGUCCAAUAUCAACGUUAAUGUGAAAAAAGGUCACGAGUGUAUUAAAUCAUUCAGACUCAAACAUUGCGGAAAGCCUUUUGAUAUCUCGCAUGAAAUGUUAAAACUGUAUGAAUGCAAAAUAUGUCACAUAAUAUUCGUUUUUAAAACUAAUCUUCUAAAGCAUGUAAAAACAGUACACGAAAAGUUAAAACCGUAUGAAUGUGAUAUAUGUCACAAAACAUUCGCACGAAAAAAUCUCCUUGAGAAUCAUGUCAACGUAGUGCAUGAAAAAGUAAAGCCUUAUGAAUGUGGAAUAUGUCAUAAAUCAUUUGGACAAAAAAAUGAUCUCAAGAUACAUAUUGAUGCAGUGCAUAAAAAAUUGAAGCCUCAUGAAUGUAAAACAUGUCACAAAACAUUUGGAGACAAAACUAAUCUUCUAAAGCAUGUAAAAACAGUACACGAAAAGUUAAAACCGUAUGAAUGUGAUGUGUGUCAUAAAACAUUCGGACGAAAACAACACCUUGAGAUACAUGUCAAUGUAGUGCAUGAAAAACUGAAGCAACAUGAAUGUGGAAUAUGUCAUAAAACAUUUGGAAAGAAAACUAAUCUCUUAAAGCACGUAAAGACAGAGCAUGAAGAAUAAGAGCCUCGCUACAAAAUUUUCAAACAAAAAUGUUAUCUUUGGCAUUAGGUUCAAAACCAAAUCUUUUCAAACAUAUUAAUAUGGUGCUUAAAAAGACAUACAGUCGUUAUGUAAAAUAGAUAAUGAAAUUUUCUCAAGAUAAUUUUGUAAAGAUAAACAGCUAAUAGAGUAAGAUCAAUUUAACAAAUGUUAAUUAUCAUCGAAACAAUAAGAAACACCUCAUAAUAAGACGUGAAAAUAGUAAUUAUCAAUCAAAGUCACAUUAGAGCGUUUGAAAGGGAGUCACAAGCAUAGCA
Trichogramma pretiosum is the source of this 1269-nucleotide long non-coding RNA. RefSeq lists it as uncharacterized. NCBI's taxonomy places the organism in Eukaryota, Metazoa, Arthropoda, Insecta, Hymenoptera, Trichogrammatidae. The record is from RefSeq and is a predicted model, not a curated record. The transcript has 3 exons.